GCAGCUAGCCGCUAAUAAGCUAACGAUACACGGGCAGCCUCGGAUCAUGUGAUCUUGUCAGACAGAAACAACCAACGGGAGCUGAGGCCACAGUGAGGAGCUCUGUCUGCCAGCCCUGGUCUCUGCUUUGCCUCUGCUCCCAUACUGGGUAAGCAUUGUUAUCCAGCAGCACCCUGAGAGUCCCCACAUUAUGGCCCACGAGACGGUAGUCAAAGGAAAUUCAUCCACUCGUCUCUGCUCAGUCUCGCCAACGUAGACCUCUCCAUCGUAGUCAAAAGGCUGCUCACGGAUCUUAGGAGGCGGCGUUGCGACUGGUUCAGGGAUAAUAUUUUUUAUGUCGUCGUUGUCCGGUGUACCUCCCAGUAUCCCGGGUCUCACUUGGGAGUCUGGGAUGGCUGCAGGCAGAAACAGAAAUCAGAUUAGACAUGUGGAACUGCAAUCAUGACUGGG
Etheostoma spectabile (orangethroat darter) is the source of this 450-nucleotide long non-coding RNA. RefSeq lists it as uncharacterized. The transcript has 3 exons. The record is from RefSeq and is a predicted model, not a curated record. Lineage: Eukaryota; Metazoa; Chordata; Actinopteri; Perciformes; Percidae.